Long non-coding RNA from Larimichthys crocea (large yellow croaker), 4757 nucleotides. RefSeq lists it as uncharacterized. NCBI's taxonomy places the organism in Eukaryota, Metazoa, Chordata, Actinopteri, Sciaenidae. The record is from RefSeq and is a predicted model, not a curated record. The transcript has 3 exons.
GACAGCAGGGGUGGUAUCUGGCACAAAAAAACAUAAAAAAGAUCCUCCUCAUGCAGCUUAAAUUAACACUAGCUGUUCAGAGCAGGGCUGUUUAUUACUGUAGGCUAUAACAGUGCUACUGAAAGGACAAGAAAGGGUGGGAGACAGAAUAGGCUGGACACCGAAGGGGGAGGCGGAGGGGGAAGGAGGGCGCAGGACACGAGCAGAGUCAUCAGCAGAGUCCAUUUUAUCGUUCGGUUACCGUCCGACAUUUCUCCUCUCUCUUUAUUCGCACGCACAGCCGGCCCGAAGCUGCCGCAGAUCGCAAAUGCGAGGCGAGGACAUGGCCUAGUAAUGGCACAUGGCGGGCGCACUGCGGUAAAUAUUACAGGAUUUUUACAACCCCCGGCUCACUGUUGCAAUCAAGGCAGGACAGUCACACCCAGGUGCUCAUCUGGCUUUGAUUGCGUGCCAACAGUCAGCGUAGCUUCUUUUUUUUUUUCGACUCAUUAACGCGUCGAGUUUAAGAAGAAUUCACAAAGCGAUCACGCCAGAGUUUCUUUUUGGGGUUUUUCUAUAAGGGUGGACGAUUAGCUUCCUGGAAGUUUUGCGAUAAAGGACGUGCAGGUCAAACACAAACUGAUAUCAAGCUCGAAAGCAGCGACAUCUCUGAGAAUCUUUUCCAUGAAUCUCAAACUUGCCAGUUGUCCCAGAAUCCUUUAAUCAUUUGUGAGUGUUUGCUGUGACUCUCCUCCUCAGGAGAAGUGCACUGUACCCCCCCCUCCUCCCCACCCUACUACCCUCCGACACCCUGCAAACCCUCGCUCCCCUCCCUUCGCCCGCCCCGUGCACGCGCACGUCACGCCGGCGAUGAAAACGCGGCGUGCGCACGCACUGCCCACACGUCCGUGUUUCAUCAUCAGCUGAGCCCUUUCUCCUCCACUCACAGCUCGUCUCCCCUCCCUCACUCGCCCCCUCCCCUCCCGGCUCUUGCUUCUUUUUCUAUCCAUCGCUCUCCUCCUCCUCCUCUCUCCCUGGGUCCCAGCCACAUGCGAGAGGGUAGACUAGGACGCUGCAGCUCUGAAAAAAAGAGAGAGAGAGAGAGAGAGAGGGAGAGAGAGAGAGGGGAAAAACGCUCUGCUGCUAUUUCUACAGGCGGGUCCUCCCCUUUAGCUAGUCUGUGCCAAAAGAGGGAGGGAUUUUUUACUACUCCCAGUCCCAGGAUUUUAACCCUCUGCCUGCUCUCACUUCUCUCUGCAAGAUCUGCUCCUCAAUAUCAUGCAACAAGUGGCUUUGCUUUACUCCUGCCUCGACAUCGCUGCGCCAUUCGCGAAGACGUUUUUCGGGGACCCCCCCGUUUUCUUCACUCAGGCGACCACUGACCACGCAGAUUUGGUCAGUUUUCGGCGCUUUCGGGCUGUUCGGUAGAGUUAAACCGGACUGGGUAGAAUCAGUGUUUUUUUUUUUUUUUUUUUUUUUUUUUUUUUUUUUUUUUUUUUUUUGGUUUGCGCCCUACCAUGAUGCGAAGGCUUUUCAAGCACGUGCUUCCAGAUUGCUCGCCAUGCUUCCUUUUCUCGUGAAGGACGAAGACAUCGUUUCUUUUUUUUGUUGUUGUUGUUGUUUGUUUUUUUUUUAAAGCAUGUUUGAGCAGCUGCUUGAUUUCAUGUUACCUGUGCAUGUGUCUUGAUUUCAACAGAUGAUUUCUCAUGUAUUUUCCUGCGCUCUUAUCUCCUUCACCCUCCUCCUUCCUCACCCUUUCUAUCUCUAAACCUCUCCCUCUUUUGGGUUUUCUGCCCCACCCUCUCUUCCUCAUGCUCUCUCUCCCCCACUCUCUCUCUCUCUCCUUCUCUCUCCCUCUCUCUCGUGGGCAGUCUCCGCUGAAAGGGGAGCAGGAGGGCGGAGCAGCGACGGGGCUUUUUCUGGGACAGGUGCCAAUUCCAAACAAAAGACACAAAAAGCCAAAAAAAAAGAGUGAGAUAGUUCCCAACGACAGGCAGAAAAAGUGGCAUGUUUCAAGAACUGAUUUGUAGUAAUAACAUGUGUGUGCAUGUGUAACUAUUCUCCUCUCGCAGGACUUUUUCUUUUUUUAUUGCAUGAGUGAGUAGCAGCACAGAUCUUGAAUCCUCGCCUCCCCCUCCUCCUCCUCCUCCUCCUCCUCCUUCUCUCCUCUGCUCUCUUGCUCCCGUGAAGGCAUUUGAGUUUCGAGCGGGGAAAAGAAGGAGGGGCGGGGUGGAGUUGGGAAGGGGCAGCGGGAGGCGGAGCCUCUCCUCCUCUCCUCCCCGUGAGCCUUCUGCAUUAUUCAUAUGCCCGGGCCAGCGCUGCAUUCUGACUGGCUGCCUGGCUUAGCAUUCACCCGACAUUCAGCGGCUCUGUUUGCUAACAUUCCUCAUUCAAAGCCUUGUUAACUGCCAGACGGGAGGAACACGCGACUCCAUGGGAAACCCACAUGGCCUCCUUAUUGUGGCGGGCCCUGACAGUCUCAGACUAGGAGGUGGCAGACAUGGGGAGAGCGAAAGGGGAGCCGGUUUGUAAAUAUUAGAAAGCAGUUAGCUGAGGUGAGGCAGGUUACCCGAGGCUACGAGGCAGGGUUUCGUGGGGUAAGGUGGCCGGAUUGACAGGGUAAAGCCCAGACAGAGGGGGCAGACAGAUGGGCAGACAGACAUAUAGACAAGGCGUUGAGGCAGACAGGGAGGCUGGCACUUUGUGGGACUCUGAAUGGGUCUCUCGUUGGCGUGUCCGCCUACUCCUUGCAGGGAGUGCAGAGCUGUGUGACUGAAUCCGAGCUCCUUCUCUGCCCUUCUCUACAGAGAGGAUAUGUGGACAUACUGUGGACAGCUACGGAGAGAAUCCAGCACAAUGAACGGCGGAGAUUUCGGGCGCUUUACCCCGGAUAGCUGACUGACUGUGGUGCGUGUGCCAGUGGCCUCAAAGUCUCAGUGGGCUCGUUAUUUGGGGAUGACUUCAUUUUCCUGCACAGACCUCAAUUACAAGGCUGAGGAAACCUGAGAGGAAGACGAGCUGACAGACCUGAAGCCGACGCUGCAAAGAAGAGGUGACCUGACGAGAAUAAGUGACUUCCAGGAAGUAUUUUUUUGACGGCAGUCUUUCAUUUUGUAACAAUUUAGGCACAAAGAAAUGAUCUCAGUUCACGACCCAGGUUUUACUCUGCUCGGCUCUAACAUCAGAUUGGAUUUCCUGUGCAUAUAGAUAAAAAAUAACCACAAAUUUCAAAACAUAAAGCGAUUAAAAAAGAACAUUUCAUAAAUACAGCAACACCUACGUAGAAAAUCAAGCAGUUUGAAUUUAGGUUGAGUCGUUAUUAUAAAAAUUAUUUUGCAUUCUGGAUUAUCUGUAAACUAAGUUUUUUUUUCAAAACUAUUGAAAUUUUGUUUAACAUUAAAAUAAACUGCAGCAAUUCAAUUAAACAGAAUUAGAGAUGACGGUCAUAAAAAUAAGUGAAUUAAAUGAUAAUAAUAAUAAUAAUAAUACAGUAAUAUUGCAUCAGUAUGUAGGAUUAUUGCUGACUCUUGGAGAAGAGUGUGUGACAAAAUGAUGAACUUAAAAUUGAGGCCCCCUCAAAGCUUUUAACAGCAGCUCACUGUCUUCAUCAGCAGAUAUAUAUUUCAGUCCUUAAAAAAGAGUAGGUUAAAUAUUUUCUAUUACAUUCACUUGUAUAUUUUGUCAUUUUUAUGAACACACACUUUGCAGUUUAGUUGAGUUUCCUGUAGCUGUGCUUCGUGUGUCUUUUCCUGGUUUUGUGCGGGCCUUUUGUCGUUUGGAGUUUGUGUUCUCGCACGUCGACCAUCGGCCACAAGACACGAGAGACGCCUGCGGGAGAUAAACUGUCCUUUGGGGUGAGGUAGUAGGUUGUAUAGUUUUAGGGUCAUUCCCAAGCUGUCAGAUGACUAUACAACUUACUGUCUUUCCUGGAGCGACUGUGAUGGCAGCAGCAGCAAUCGUCAUCGUCGUCACAACGGAAAAUGCAACUUCAAGUCCUCGCGAAGGAGGCGACGUAGAAGAGAAGUAGACGAGUUAGCAAGCAACGUUGGGCAUGAUGUUUUUAGACGAUUAAGGUGUAGAUUGUACAAAUAGAUGCUGCAGCAUGAAGAGGGGAAGAUUUUCUUUAUAUCUAGGCUGCCCAUUUUGAUUAACUGACGUUUAUUAGUGCAUUAUUGCUGAGGUGUAUGAUAGAUUACUGAUAUGUUUUGGAAUUUAAACAAACUUUUUAUGUUUUUUUCACUCUUAAAAUGUUACUUCAAAUGUACUUGUACGUGUCCAUUAGUUAAUAUUUGAAUAAUGUUUUUUACUUGAAGCACUCUUAAUGUUAGCAUCACAAACCUUGCUGUAUUUGCUACCCAUGAUGUCGUUUUCAUUGUCGUCAUUUACAAAGUGAGCACAUCCUCCUCCUCCUACCCACCUCGGGUGACUUAUGGUGUUCGUACAGGGUGAGGUAGUAGGUUGUGUGGUUUCAGGGUUGUGAUUUUACCCCAUCAGGAGCUAACUAUACAACCUACUGCCUUCCCUGGAGGGCAGCAAUACAUCACAGGAGCACACAGAUGUCUUGGUCACCUUUCUACUUAGGAAAAAACGGACAGAUUCUCAUUAACUAAGGACAGGCACUGAUGUCAAAGGUUUCAUUUAAUGGGUGAGUGGUGCUAAAUCAUACUAUGCAUUUCAUAGGAAGCAUGGAGCGUGCAGUUGUGUUUAGAGAUUUGUGAUUUACCUUUGUACCGUUUCAUUAAAAUAAAUAAAGACUGGAAAGAAAUAUGUACGAACAA